This 356-nucleotide non-coding RNA is filed under the name Anoxybacteroides amylolyticum. Its description in RNAcentral is "Anoxybacillus amylolyticus Bacterial large subunit ribosomal RNA". It matches the Rfam family "Bacterial large subunit ribosomal RNA", at positions 2570 to 2925 of the family's 2925-position model. Lineage: Bacteria; Bacillati; Bacillota; Bacilli; Caryophanales; Anoxybacillaceae. The record is from Rfam by way of RNAcentral.
GGUUGGGCUGUUCGCCCAUUAAAGCGGUACGCGAGCUGGGUUCAGAACGUCGUGAGACAGUUCGGUCCCUAUCCGUCGCGGGCGUAGGAAAUUUGAGAGGAGCUGUCCUUAGUACGAGAGGACCGGGAUGGACGCACCGCUGGUGUACCAGUUGUCCUGCCAAGGGCACCGCUGGGUAGCUAUGUGCGGAAGGGAUAAGCGCUGAAAGCAUCUAAGCGUGAAGCCCCCCUCAAGAUGAGAUUUCCCAUCGCAUAAGCGAGUAAGAUCCCUCGAAGAUGACGAGGUCGAUAGGUCCGAGGUGGAAGCGUGGCGACACGUGCAGCUGACGGAUACUAAUCGAUCGAGGACUUAACCAU